Molecule: ribosomal RNA, 497 nt
Filed under: uncultured bacterium
Lineage: Bacteria
Description: partial 16S ribosomal RNA
Rfam family: Bacterial small subunit ribosomal RNA
Source: RNAcentral
GAUGAACGCUGGCGGCGUGCCUAAUACAUGCAAGUCGAGCGAAAAGACGAGGAGCUUGCUCCCCUGACGUUAGCGGCGGACGGGUGAGUAACAAGUGGAUAACAUACCUCUAAGACUGGGAUAAUAUCGGGAAACAGGAGACAAUACCGGAUAAUAUAUUGAACGGGAUGGAUCAAUAGUGAAAGACGGUUUUGCUGUCACUUAUAGAUGGAUUCGCGCCGCAUUAGCUAGUUGGUAAGGUAACGGCUUACCAAGGCGACGAUGCGUAGCCGACCUGAGAGGGUGAUCGGCUACACUGGAACUGAGACACGGUCCAGACUCCUACGGGAGGCAGCAGUAGGGAAUCUUCCACAAUGGGCGAAAGCCUGACGGAGCAACGCCGCGUGGGUGAUGAAGGUCUUCGGAUCGUAAAACUCUGUUAUUAGGGAAGAACAAAUGUGUAAGUAACUAUGCACGUCUUGACGGUACCUAAAGAGAAAGCCACGGCUAACUUCGUG